UACGAAGGGGGCUAGCGUUGCUCGGAAUCACUGGGCGUAAAGGGUGCGUAGGCGGGGCUUUAAGUCAGGGGUGAAAUCCUGGAGCUCAACUCCAGAACUGCCUUUGAUACUGAAGAUCUUGAGUUCGGGAGAGGUGAGUGGAACUGCGAGUGUAGAGGUGAAUUUCGUAGAUAUUCGCAAGAACACCAGUGGCGAAGGCGGCUCACUGGCCCGAUACUGACGCUGAGGCACGAAAGCGUGGGGAGCAAACAGG
Molecule: ribosomal RNA, 253 nt
Filed under: uncultured bacterium
Lineage: Bacteria
Description: partial 16S ribosomal RNA
Rfam family: Bacterial small subunit ribosomal RNA
Source: RNAcentral